RNAcentral lists this long non-coding RNA (967 nucleotides) under Mytilus galloprovincialis (Mediterranean mussel). Lineage: Eukaryota; Metazoa; Mollusca; Bivalvia; Mytilida; Mytilidae. The record is from RNAcentral.
UCAAAUCAAAAGACCCUAGGUCUCUAUCACUUAUAGUUUACCAGUUAGAAAUGCAUAUCACUGAUAUCAUAUAUAAAAGGGAGGGAUACUCUCAUAUGGAGUCUCCGGAUAGCUUCGGUUGAAAUGAAACAGAACAUCCUAAGGAUAUAACGAGCAAUUUGGAAAAAUAAAUUUGUCGGUUUCUUAUACGGUUGCGAAGGAGUAGUGGCCACAAGAAAAACAGUGUUCGGGGAGAUAACUCUUACAAGGUAAAGUUUUUUGUUACGCGGUGUCAGUUUCAGAAGCGUAUUAACUGUUCGAUAUCAUUUACCUUAUAUCUAAGCGAUAUCUUGCGAAACAAAAAAACAGCGAAGGAAAAAAAAGAGUGGCGAAGAAAAAAAAAAAUAAUAAUAAUAAAUAUAAAUCAAUUGCUUUAAAAAAGCAAUUGUAUAAAGGUCUUUCCCCCUUUGAAAUUGAUUAUAUAUGGGGGGGGGGAGGGGUCUGUUUAUUUGUUUGUUCGUUUGUUUGUUUCGGUAUGGGGUCUAUAGUAUUGUGUUACCGGAGAAGUUUCAUGCUUAGUUUGGAAAGUUUUUAUUUUAUAUUUAGGUACAGCGCGCGCGCCAGAUUGAGGAGACAUCACGUGACGCGGGUUUAUAAUAACGAAAACUUAGUCUUUUAAUUUCUUUUUAGGUCGGGACGUUAAACAGACAACAUGUGUAGAGAUGGAAUGUACACAAUGUAAUUUCUUUUGUCAUUGUAGGAAAUUGACAUUUUGAUCACAGGUCACGGGCAGUGCAUGUUUUGGAUUUAAUCGAUCCGGUGUAACUUUAAAACACAUUUAAUGAUUAUUUUCUGAUAAUGUACAUUUUUCAGCACCUGUUUGUAACACAGAUUAGUAUUUCAAUCUCGGAGCGGACAUUUUAUUGUAGGUUUUUACUGAGAUUUACGGACCUAGCAAGCGAUUUUUACGGCAUUGCCAUUUCUGUUC